RNAcentral lists this ribosomal RNA (342 nucleotides) under uncultured bacterium. RNAcentral describes it as "bacterial SSU rRNA". It matches the Rfam family "Bacterial small subunit ribosomal RNA", at positions 173 to 507 of the family's 1533-position model. The record is from RNAcentral.
ACGAUCUAAGGAUGAAAGCGGGGGGAUUCGCAAAGAACCUCGCGCGAUUGGAGCGGCUGAUAUCAGAUUAGGUUGUUUGGUGAGGUAAAAGCUCACCAAGCCGACGAUCUGUAGCUGGUUUGAGAGAACGACCAGCCACACUGGGACUGAGACACGGCCCAGACUCCUACGGGAGGCAGCAGUGGGGAAUUUUGGACAAUGGGCGAAAGCCUGAUCCAGCAAUGCCGCGUGCAGGAAGAAGGCCUUCGGGUUGUAAACUGCUUUUGUACGGAACGAAAAGGCUCUUUCUAAUAAAGAGGGCCCAUGACGGUACCGUAAGAAUAAGCACCGGCUAACUACGUG